RNAcentral lists this ribosomal RNA (605 nucleotides) under Inocybe sp. YM924. RNAcentral describes it as "eukaryotic LSU rRNA". The stretch from base 199 to 352 matches the Rfam family "5.8S ribosomal RNA". Lineage: Eukaryota; Fungi; Basidiomycota; Agaricomycetes; Agaricales; Inocybaceae. The record is from RNAcentral.
GUGCACACUUGUCAUCUUUAUUUCUCCAACUGUGCACUCAUUGUAGACCCUGGAGGGGUUUUUUAUUGUUGUUCAAGUAAAACUGAACAGAUUGAGGAUUGCUGUGUUGCUUUGCCUUGCAUUCUUCCAGGUCGUCUAUGUUAUUUUCACAAACCUUUUUGAAUUAGAAUGUUGAAAUAUAAAAAGUUAAAAUAUUACAACUUUCAGCAACGGAUCUCUUGGCUCUCGCAUCGAUGAAGAACGCAGCGAAAUGCGAUAAGUAAUGUGAAUUGCAGAAUUCAGUGAAUCAUCGAAUCUUUGAACGCAUCUUGCGCUCCUUGGUAUUCUGAGGAGCAUGCCUGUUUGAGUGUCAUUAAAUUCUCAACUGCACUGGUUUUCUCUGGUGUAGCUUGGAUGAUGGGGGUUUCAAUUUUUGCAGGCUCUCUUUGGGUCGGCUCCCCUGAAAUGCAUUAGUGGUCUAAAACUGCUACAGGUGUGAUAAUUAUCUAUGCCUCUGGUACUUUUUUAUAGACUGCUUUCUAACCAAGUGACUUUUCUUGCACAUAAGAAUUGCACGCUUUGACACAUUUGACCUCAAAUCAGGUAGGACUACCCGCUGAACUUAA